AUUUAUACAAAAUAGUGAGAAUAAAAGUGUGUAAUUUCAUCAAAACUUGGUAAAAGGGACCAAUAAAAUGAUAUAAAAAGUAGUACUAAUUGGUCCAUAACAACUCUCCCCAACUUAGCAUUUUGUUUAUCCCUAAACAAAAGUUUCCACCAUCACAACCAAAGCAAUGACACAAAAGAUUGAAACAAGGAUUUACCAAGGACAUUCAAAUGGUUCAAAAGUGUUUGGCAAUUUCUCAAUCCAUCUAUCUCAAUUCUAGACAAAACAUGAAUAAGA
This 276-nucleotide long non-coding RNA is filed under the name Lathyrus oleraceus (garden pea). Its description in RNAcentral is "Pisum sativum (pea) long non-coding RNA (PSAT_LNC037975)". The record is from RNAcentral. Lineage: Eukaryota; Viridiplantae; Streptophyta; Magnoliopsida; Fabales; Fabaceae.